RNAcentral lists this transfer RNA (74 nucleotides) under Lentisphaeria bacterium. Its description in RNAcentral is "tRNA-Val". It matches the Rfam family "tRNA". From Rfam's summary of the family: Transfer RNA (tRNA) molecules are approximately 80 nucleotides in length. Lineage: Bacteria; Pseudomonadati; Lentisphaerota; Lentisphaeria. RNAcentral also lists the same sequence under 1 other name. The record is from RNAcentral.
GGGCGAUUAGCUCAGCUGGUUAGAGCGUCAUGCUUACACCGUGAAUGUCGGCGGUUCGAACCCGUCAUCGCCCA